GAGUUUGAUCGUGGCUCAGGAUGAACGCUAGCGGCAGGCCUAACACAUGCAAGUCGAGGGGUAGAGGAAGCUUGCUUCCUUGAGACCGGCGCACGGGUGCGUAACGCGUAUGCAAUCUACCUUGUACAGAGGGAUAGCCCAGAGAAAUUUGGAUUAAUACCUCAUAGUGUUAUCGGAUGGCAUCAUUUGAUAACUAAAGUUCCAACGGUACAAGAUGAGCAUGCGUCCCAUUAGCUAGUUGGUGUGGUAACGGCAUACCAAGGCAAUGAUGGGUAGGGGUCCUGAGAGGGAGAUCCCCCACACUGGUACUGAGACACGGACCAGACUCUUACGGGAGGCAGCAGUGAGGAAUAUGGUCAAUGGACGCAAGUCUGAACCAGCCAUGCCGCGUGCAGGAUGACGGUCCUAUGGAUUGUAAACUGCUUUUAUACAGGAAGAAACACCCCUUCGUGAAGGGACUUGACGGUACUGUAGGAAUAAGGAUCGGCUAACUCCGUGCCAGCC
Molecule: ribosomal RNA, 504 nt
Filed under: uncultured Flavobacterium sp.
Lineage: Bacteria; Pseudomonadati; Bacteroidota; Flavobacteriia; Flavobacteriales; Flavobacteriaceae
Description: bacterial SSU rRNA
Rfam family: Bacterial small subunit ribosomal RNA
Source: RNAcentral